Panthera uncia (snow leopard) is the source of this 935-nucleotide long non-coding RNA. RefSeq lists it as uncharacterized. The transcript is spliced from 3 exons. NCBI's taxonomy places the organism in Eukaryota, Metazoa, Chordata, Mammalia, Carnivora, Felidae. The record is from RefSeq and is a predicted model, not a curated record.
UCUCCUUCUGGUCUUUGUGCAAAUUGCUAUUUUUUUUUUUUUUCUGGUGAAAUAAACCAUCUUGGUUGUCUUAAGAGUACAAGGAAUAGAUCUCAUCUUCAGUUAAUUACAUCGCAAGUCCGUUUUCCUAGUCCUCUGGAUAUAGUUUUAUAAAACACUCUACUCUUCAUAACUAUGAACUGUUUGAAGGAGGCGCUUGCCGAUUAUUUUAUCAACUCUGUUGAUUUUACUCUGAGAAGUGACAUAAUACGAGGGUAUGCUAGUUGGCUACCAGAAUGCAUUCCUUUUUUGUAAUUUUAAUAGAGUAUAUCUAGGCACCUGGCUGUCUUGCUACAAACUUUUUCAGCUUCUUUGCAGCCAGGUGUAGAUCGCAUGACUAAAAUCUUGUCAGUGGAAUGUGAGUGAAGGCUGAUUCCAGAUCUAGGCCUUCAAAUUGUUGGAUGUGUGUUUCCCUCAGGAGCGAUUUUCCUUCCCAACAGGUCCCAGAGAGCCCAUCAUUAAAAAUCCAUACGAGGACAGCACCCCAGAGGACGGUAGAGCCACGAUAUGGCAGGAAGGACUCUGAGGAGCAGAGCACCCGGCUGCCUGACUGCUAACCGUGAGGCUGCAAACUCCCUAUGUCAUUUGAAGCUAGUAUCUUGAAGGAGAAUUAGGCAAAAGAAAAAGAUACCAGGAUGCUUUUCCAGCCAGUGUUUCCAUAUCAUCAUGACUUCCAUGAUGGCUCUCAACGUCCUUUUAAGAAAGAAAACAAGAACAAAAAGCAAAGCAAAAUGAAAAACAAUAGACUGGAAAGAGCUUAUAUCCAUUUUUCCAGGAUGGAAACCAACCCACCAAGAACUGGAUCUUUUUAUUCUGCAAUUUAAACCAACUAAUAAAUAAAUGUUCUGUUAUGUCUCACACAAUGUAAGUGGUAGGAGACAACAAACUGGUAACAA